UACGGAGGAUGCAAGCGUUAUCCGGAUUCAUUGGGUUUAAAGGGUUCGCAGGCGGCGUAUUAAGUCAGUGGUGAAAUCCCUCGGCUCAACCGAGGAACUGCCAUUGAUACUGGUAUGCUAGAGUAUAGUUGGCGUAGGCGGAAUAUUUCAUGUAGCGGUGAAAUGCUUAGAUAUGAAAUAGAACACCGAUCGCGAAGGCAGCUUACGAAACUAUAACUGACGCUCAGGAACGAAAGCGUGGGGAGCGAACAGG
RNAcentral lists this ribosomal RNA (253 nucleotides) under uncultured bacterium. RNAcentral's name for it is "partial 16S ribosomal RNA". It matches the Rfam family "Bacterial small subunit ribosomal RNA", at positions 524 to 776 of the family's 1533-position model. The record is from RNAcentral.